Long non-coding RNA from Felis catus (domestic cat), 4344 nucleotides. RefSeq lists it as uncharacterized. NCBI's taxonomy places the organism in Eukaryota, Metazoa, Chordata, Mammalia, Carnivora, Felidae. The transcript is spliced from 5 exons. The record is from RefSeq and is a predicted model, not a curated record.
CUCUAGAAAGCACAGCAGCCAAGGGGAAUUAGAGGUGGUUCAUAGACCACUGGAGGGUCCACAGCUGGGACCAAGGCUUCUCUGCCUAUUACCUGGCAUACAGCUGCUUGAACAGACUGAGACACAUGGGUCAAAUCUGACCUGAAUGGCCUGUUCGCCCCAGCAGACCCCAGGAUCAAGGGGAGAGAGGCGACAAGGAAGAACACUGCAGCCUUCUUUUUUCUUUCCACUUCGGGAUGUAUUUACAGAUUCUCAGACCUUUGGGCUCAGAUUGCAACUCUACCAGUGGCUCUCCUGGAUGUCUGGCUUGCAACAGCAGACCAUGGGACUUCUCAGCCUCCAUUAUCAAUGUCCCUGCAUAGCUGCAAUUCAGCAACGCCAAAGAAGAAAGGAGAGCCUCCAGUUCCCAGCUAUGUUUUUCUCUCUGCCUAGCAGUAAUAGUGUCUUCAGUGUUUCCUUACAUGGAUCAAGUGGAAGAAAAAGGAAUCGGAUUGGUCCGUGAGCACUGUUUGGCCUGGGGAAUAGGUAAGAAAAAUCAGGAAAAUUCACCAUCUACUCUUCAGCACCAGUCCCUCAGAGUAUUUCAGAAAUGGGUUAUAAAAGCAAAGACAUUUUCACAUGCAUUCAUUCAUGCGAUCAAUUCUUAUUGACACAUACUAUAUGCCCCAGCUCUAGGAAAGCCACGAGUCCACAUGAGUUUCCAGAAAACUACUCAGCAACUGUAAAUGGAAACAUUUAACUGCAAGUAAGAUGAGCUACAAGUCUGAAAACACACUGUGGAAAAUCCUGUUUACCUGUUCACCUCUUAGGCAGGCUGUCUGGCCAGCUUGCUCAUCCAUUUUUUUCCACGACUGAUACAACUUAUCUGUGAAUUUUUACCAUACGCUUCCUGCAUCCACUCUUUCAUCCCCAACCCUAAUUCCAGAACAUUCUUGGUCAUGGUAAAUGUCUAUUAGAAUAUCUCCAGUAAAGUAGUAGUUCUUAAAGCCAAUAUCCUAGUGGGCUUGGGGUAAGAUUUUAAUAUCAAAUCAUAGCCCUCUCCAAAAAGAGAACAAGUAAAGGGAAUUAGAGGCCUUUAUAUUUAGCCAUCUUAACUAAGAUAUUAUUUAGAUUUGAUUUAAAGGCUGCAAAACUUCAAAUCAGAUCUGUAUUGAUCAACACACCAGGUAUGGAUGGGCAGGAGUGCCAUUGAAGGGCUGGAAGAAAGGUGACAUGUAUCUACCAGAAGGUGGCAGUGUUGCUUCUCCAAAUACCUCACAGAUUAGACAGGCUCUUGAAUCUAAGGCUAGAAACAAGGUUAGGCUAUUUCUGGACUUUCCGCACUUAGUUCACGUGUAUACUUUACAGAAAGGAAUGUGAAUUAGCUGUACUUUAAAGUUCACCAGUGUAGUAAUCCUCAAAAUAUACACAGAAGUAAAAUAUAAUAAGAAUUUUUUAAAGCACGAUAUGAGUCUCAGUAGACAUGUAUUGAACCUAUGUGGAAGUUUCCUUGCUGGGAGUUCUAUGUGGAAGACAUAGAGAAGCCAAGGACCUUAAUUCUUAACAACUUUGGAAUAUACUUGGGAAGCAGAACUGUAUUCAUAAAAUCAUCAGAAUUUCUCUUAGAAUUCUGGUCCCGAUCUAGAUGCUCCUAGAUCUUUCCUCCUCUGAGACACGACACUGGUUGCUUCCUGUCUAAUCCGUAGGGUCUUUCUCCAUCCUUAACCUAUCAUGGCCAUAUUUGCUUUAUCAUUUUCAUCUGUUUGGCUUGAACUAUCUCCGCACUCUUUAUGUUUGGGACUGGAAGGCAAAGAAAAGAAGUCUUGGAGCAGCCCCACUCCAGUGGAAAUAAAGGACAUUUUGCAGCCUGUCUUCCCAGACAGCCAAAGAGCUCUGAACCCCAAGAUUCUGGAUGAUUCCUGACUUGAGCCUCACAAUCCUCCCAAAGCCAGCAUGAUAUUUCCCGCAAAAACCCCAGCAGCCUGACCGCCUCAUCAAAAGUUUAGUAGCCGAGAACUUAAAAAGAAAAAGAAAAAAAAGGCUACUAUUGCUUAUGCUCCCGACAUCAACCAUUUUACAAACUGCAUUUCAGAAUAUUUGCUAACAUGUCCUGACAAAGAAUAAUAAUUAAUCAGAAGCUCCCCAGCUUGCGUGAAGAACAACAACAAUAAUAGUCAUUAAGAGCCUGUUCUGGGUCUUUCUCUCAUGCUAAGGCUCGAGUUUGGUUGUGAUGAAAAGAAAGUCACUGUAAGAACAUUACAUCUACGUUACUCAGCUCUCACUCAGGAAGCUUAUUAAUCUCAGUGAGUAGAUCUGGCACAACUUUGCAGAACUCUGGAAGUCACAUAGCUGGAGUAGAGGGAGCGAUUCUGUGUAUGUUAUUUCACCACAUUUACAGACCAUAGAAAUAAUGUAGCCAAUCGACAUGCCCUCACUGACAUCUAGUGCUCUGAUUUCUCUCCACCAGCUCUGAUUUGAGAUGGUUUGACUAGUUAAAGCUCAUUGCACAAUGGCUGGUGCUACAGAGCCGGAAAUGCCAGGUCAGCAACCAAACCACUAAAGUCAUAAGCGCCUGCUGCAUAAAUGCCCAUGUUUCAUCUUUAGCGGGCUUCAAAGUUAAAUAGCGAAGACAGACAAUGCAAAGAAAAACAUGACUGCGGUAAAACACGGCAACUACACGAUGGCUAAAAUUAAGUCUUCAUAUCAAUCAUGCAUUUUUAAUGUGAACAUUUAUGGAAAUCUCUCUUAAUGUUUAGGCAGUAUUUUUCUUCAUUGGUUAUUUAUGAUGCUGUGAGCUGCAAGCACAAGCUAAAUGGGAAAGCCAGAGAAUGGGGUUUGCUUAACAGUCGACAACCUUGUCCUACUGUAAAUAAAAAAGAGAAAGCCCAUCAUCUCUUCAAGCGCAUCUUCAUAAAUAAACUUAAAAAGAAAAGCCGUCAGAGUCCAUCACAUCUUUUUUCCUUCCUAACCUGGAAGUCCCUAUUCCAUAAUGCCUGACUGGUUUCUUUUCUCUACUAGGGGCUCUCCACCAUGCGAUUUAGUUCACUGUUAUUAUUUGGCAUGUGAAUAUCAGGGAAAACAUUUUUUAAUACAAUUGAAGAGCUAAUAAUUGAAUGCCUUCAGCCAAGUGAAAAUAGCUCGGGGGGGAGGGAGGGUAGUGCUGGAGUUUAACAUAAAAUCAGAUCUGAGAGUAGAAAAAAAGGAAGGGGCUUGAGAACCCCAGGAGUGAAACUGGCCCCCUCGUUUGUUCGGUUCUUCAGUGUUGAUGUUGACCUCUCUUUGAAUGUAGUCUUUAGUUUGGAAUGUGAGUGUGAGAUUCCCUGGGAGAAUAUUAAAGGUCUGCAGUGGACAUUGCCCUGGGACUGAGCUUCGGCAAACAAAUUCUCCCCUGUAAAAAUGACUAACCGAGCCCACGUGCUGAGGCUCAAGGCUGGACCGUUGUUUAUUUAUUUGCACAUCCCCCAAAUGAAGAUGUAUGUCCUAAACAGCCAUCCAAGCUAUUCUGCCACCUUUGGAGAAACUGAGACUUGAUGCUGGCUCCAAGUCUUGAGAAAAUGCAUUAGUGCCCACUUUAUACUCAGAAUAAUCCCUAGAAAUACCAUAAACAGACUUAAGGUGCCUGGAGUAAACAGGAAAGCUGGAACCCACCAGAGGGAACUUGUGAGGCAGCUGACUUGUGUUUCAGGAGGUGAUCCCGUGAGUCACUCGUGACCAUUCCCAUGUCUACAAGAGCCUUUCCAAGUUCUGUUUUUACAAAGCCAGGAGAUUUUGCCCCCCAGGGGAAAUAGAAUACAGCAAACAAGAUAUAAUAACUGCACUAAGGAGUUCCACCAGCCCGUUACCUGGCAGGCAUGAUGGCUUUCCUCUAACCAGACUGUCAUGAUUCCAAAUCUUAAGAGCAGAUCUGCUGAUAAAGGUGAACUUCACUUAGCCCAAACCUGACAGACUGCGGGCCAUGCUGAUGUCUACCUUUUGUUGAGCUCAUUUCUAAAAUAGUACCUUCCCGCCUGGGCACACCACCUGAGGCGAUGCGUAUUGCCAGAAGAGAGCAAGAUAAGAGGGGGCAAAGCAAGUUAAUGGAAACUACACGCACUGUCAGCCUCUCGGAAAUGGCUCCAAACAGGAGCAUUAGCUGGGCUGGCCCAACAGGCAGGCUGAUGAUCAACACAGAAGACGUUUGGAUCAAGCAGAUCUCCUUGCUGUGUAAACAGAGGGUAAAGACUUCGAUUUCUAGAAAGAUUUCCAUUUCCAUUUCUAGAAGUAUUCUAUAGAUUCACACCUAGACUUGGUGCUAACCAUCUGUGGGUCAACACAUGUGACACCGAGAAGUGUUUUUAAAAAUAAAAUCGCAAUUAUUUCUCAUUC